AAGACCCUUACUUUUCGGUUUUGGAGUUUAGAUCAGUAUUAGGUAAAUGGUUUGAAAAAUACAUCGGCAGACUACAAUUAAAGCAGCCCACCUUCGUUCAGCCCUCCCGAAAGGAGAGCACAGAAACAUGACUUCAACUGUUCACGUAGAAAGUUUUUUAUUGUUUUUGUAACGAAUCUCCUUGUAGUGGGGAACCUGCGGAAGGAUCAUU
RNAcentral lists this ribosomal RNA (211 nucleotides) under Pythium aphanidermatum. Its description in RNAcentral is "partial 18S ribosomal RNA". The record is from RNAcentral. Lineage: Eukaryota; Oomycota; Peronosporomycetes; Pythiales; Pythiaceae.